UCAACCUGAGAGUUUGAUUCUGGCUCAGAACGAACGCUGGCGGCAGGCCUAACACAUGCAAGUCGAACGCCCCGCAAGGGGAGUGGCAGACGGGUGAGUAACACGUGGGAACGUGCCCUAAGGUUCGGAAUAUUCCCGGGAAACUGGGAGCAAUACCGAAUGUGUCCGCAAGGAGAAAGAUUUAUCGCCUUAGGAUCGGC
RNAcentral lists this ribosomal RNA (200 nucleotides) under Pseudomonadota bacterium. RNAcentral describes it as "Proteobacteria bacterium (sediment metagenome) partial 16S ribosomal RNA". It matches the Rfam family "Bacterial small subunit ribosomal RNA", at positions 1 to 230 of the family's 1533-position model. Lineage: Bacteria; Pseudomonadati; Pseudomonadota. The record is from RNAcentral.